CUCUGUGUAGACACGUGAGAUCUCUAUGUAAUAGAGGGAAGAUGAGAUGUGGCUCCCGCUUCUACACAAUAUGCACAAGGGGCACGUGCACACACCCUCUCUCAUACAUCACACACCCCGUGCACACGUGAGACAGCAAUAGAGGGUGGAUAUAAUACCAUCAUACACAUGCGGUCUACAUAAUAUACACACACUCUACAUAAUAUAAAAAGAAUGUAAUAGAGGUAACGCAUAUAAUACUAAGUUUCAACAAAGGAUAUCUUGGCUCUCGCAUAGAUGAAGAAAGCAGAGAAAAGCGAUAAGUAAUAUGAAAAGCAGAAAUCACAGAAUCAUAGAAUAUUUGAACGCACCCUGCGCUCCCUGGUAUUCCCUGGAGCACGCCCGUGUGAGUAUCACGAAAUAUUCAAAGUAAACACUUUGUUAAAUCAAAAGGUCUUUUUUACAUUGGUUUUGGAGGAUAUUAUAGCAGAUUCACACACGCUCCUCUUUGUGCACUAGAGGGAUAUCUCAGUGUUAUGCGUGGUUCCACUCGGCGUGAUAAGUUAUCUAUCGCAGAAGACACCCGAAAAAAGGUGGCCAAGGAAAAUGCAGAGAACCGCUUCUAAUACCCCAUUGACUUGCACAAUAUUCUAUUAUAAGAUCUGAUCUCAAAUCAGGUAGACUACAAGCUGAUCUUACACAUAUCUAAAAGGCAGAAAAAA
RNAcentral lists this ribosomal RNA (701 nucleotides) under Rhizoctonia solani. RNAcentral's name for it is "eukaryotic LSU rRNA". The stretch from base 242 to 395 matches the Rfam family "5.8S ribosomal RNA". Lineage: Eukaryota; Fungi; Basidiomycota; Agaricomycetes; Cantharellales; Ceratobasidiaceae. The record is from RNAcentral.